Molecule: ribosomal RNA, 441 nt
Filed under: uncultured bacterium
Lineage: Bacteria
Description: bacterial SSU rRNA
Rfam family: Bacterial small subunit ribosomal RNA
Source: RNAcentral
AACGAACGCUGGCGGCAUGCCUAACACAUGCAAGUCGAACGAGACCUUCGGGUCUAGUGGCGCACGGGUGCGUAACGCGUGGGAAUCUGCCCUUGGGUUCGGAAUAACAGCGAGAAAUUGCUGCUAAUACCGGAUGAUGACGUAAGUCCAAAGAUUUAUCGCCCAAGGAUGAGCCCGCGUAGGAUUAGCUAGUUGGUGAGGUAAAGGCUCACCAAGGCGACGAUCCUUAGCUGGUCUGAGAGGAUGAUCAGCCACACUGGGACUGAGACACGGCCCAGACUCCUACGGGAGGCAGCAGUGGGGAAUAUUGGACAAUGGGCGAAAGCCUGAUCCAGCAAUGCCGCGUGAGUGAUGAAGGCCUUAGGGUGUAAAGCUCUUUUACCCGGGAUGAUAAUGACAGUACCGGAGAAUAAGCUCCGGCUAACUCCGUGCCAGCAGCCG